UCAAAGGCUCUCUUCAGAGCCACUCACUUGGCGGGAAAAGACCUGU
Bos taurus (domestic cattle) is the source of this 46-nucleotide non-coding RNA. The record is from Rfam. Lineage: Eukaryota; Metazoa; Chordata; Mammalia; Artiodactyla; Bovidae.